GAUGAAGAACGUAGUGAAAUGCGAUAAGUAAUGUGAAUUGCAGAAUUCAGUGAAUCAUCGAAUCUUUGAACGCACCUUGCGCUCUUUGGUAUUCCGAAGAGCAUGCCUGUUUGAGUGUCAUGAAAAUAUCAACCUUGACUUGGGUUUUGUGCUCUAGUCUCGGCUUGGAAUUGGGUGCUUGCCGCUUUUACGAGCGGCUCACCUUAAAUGUAUUAGCUGGAUCUGUCUUUGAGACUUGGUUUGACUUGGCGUAAUAAGUAUUUCGCUAAGGACAUUCUUCGGAGUGGCCUCGUUUCUAGGACGCUUGUCCGCUUUCCAAUACAAGUUCCACCUCGUGGACAUGACUUUUUAUUAUCUGGCCUCAAAUCAGGUAGGACUACCCGCUGAACUUAAGCAUAUAAAUAAGCGGAGGA
This 413-nucleotide unclassified non-coding RNA is filed under the name soil metagenome. Its description in RNAcentral is "partial contains 5.8S ribosomal RNA, internal transcribed spacer 2, and large subunit ribosomal RNA". The stretch from base 1 to 120 matches the Rfam family "5.8S ribosomal RNA", at positions 35 to 154 of the family's 154-position model. The record is from RNAcentral.